Long non-coding RNA from Alligator mississippiensis (American alligator), 531 nucleotides. RefSeq lists it as uncharacterized. The transcript is spliced from 4 exons. The record is from RefSeq and is a predicted model, not a curated record. NCBI's taxonomy places the organism in Eukaryota, Metazoa, Chordata, Crocodylia, Alligatoridae.
UGGCACUGGGUGGCAGAGGGGACGCCUCCCGGAGAGGUGGCUGCUGUAGUGCUGCUGUGUUACGGGUGGCGAUGCAGGAGCUACUGGGACAUUUAUCAUGCACAGGCCUCAUCUGCGAGCACAUUCCUGAAGGUGCCCAAGACAGCGGAGGAAGAGCUCGUGGAACUGAUACUGGUGUUACUUCAUGAGGCUGGAUUUUGAGAUGGCGUACACAAUUUAAAGUUCAAGUCCUGGAUCUCAUGAUGGAAUGGGGGAGAGGUGUGAGAGGCGUAAACUUUCAGGAUGGGAUGCUACAUUAAAACAUCAGCAUGCAUCAGUGCAAUUUGUGGGUCACAUUUUCCAGGGUCCUUGAAAAAGCAGCUGUAAAAUUGGUAAAUGGAACAAAAGCAAUUAGCUUGCUUCAUUGCUCGGGUCCCUGCAGAAUCUACUCUGGCAAGUAUUGGAAGCAUUUCCAGUUACUCACUUUCAGUACAAAAGCUGUUAAAAGCAGAUCAUAAUGUAAAAUUGUUUUUUUCGGUUUUGUGUUUUGUU